This 652-nucleotide ribosomal RNA is filed under the name Pseudomonas fluorescens. RNAcentral's name for it is "bacterial SSU rRNA". It matches the Rfam family "Bacterial small subunit ribosomal RNA", at positions 26 to 672 of the family's 1533-position model. Lineage: Bacteria; Pseudomonadati; Pseudomonadota; Gammaproteobacteria; Pseudomonadales; Pseudomonadaceae. The record is from RNAcentral.
UGAAUUGACGCUGGCGGCAGGCCUAACACAUGCACGUCGAGCGGUAGAGAGAAGCUUGCUUCUCUUGAGAGCGGCGGACGGGUGAGUAAUGCCUAGGAAUCUGCCUGGUAGUGGGGGAUAACGUUCGGAAACGGACGCUAAUACCGCAUACGUCCUACGGGAGAAAGCAGGGGACCUUCGGGCCUUGCGCUAUCAGAUGAGCCUAGGUCGGAUUAGCUAGUUGGUGGGGUAAUGGCUCACCAAGGCGACGAUCCGUAACUGGUCUGAGAGGAUGAUCAGUCACACUGGAACUGAGACACGGUCCAGACUCCUACGGGAGGCAGCAGUGGGGAAUAUUGGACAAUGGGCGAAAGCCUGAUCCAGCCAUGCCGCGUGUGUGAAGAAGGUCUUCGGAUUGUAAAGCACUUUAAGUUGGGAGGAAGGGUUGUAGAUUAAUACUCUGCAAUUUUGACGUUACCGACAGAAUAAGCACCGGCUAACUCUGUGCCAGCAGCCGCGGUAAUACAGAGGGUGCAAGCGUUAAUCGGAAUUACUGGGCGUAAAGCGCGCGUAGGUGGUUUGUUAAGUUGGAUGUGAAAUCCCCGGGCUCAACCUGGGAACUGCAUUCAAAACUGACUGACUAGAGUAUGGUAGAGGGGUGGUGGAAUUUCCU